GCCGAAGUGGUGAAAUUGGUAUACACGCAGGCUUGAGGUGUCUGUGGCGAAAGUCGUGCCGGUUCGAGUCCGGCCUUCGGCA
This 82-nucleotide transfer RNA is filed under the name Pseudomonadota bacterium. Its description in RNAcentral is "Proteobacteria bacterium (activated sludge metagenome) tRNA-Leu". It matches the Rfam family "tRNA". Rfam says of the family: Transfer RNA (tRNA) molecules are approximately 80 nucleotides in length. Their secondary structure includes four short double-helical elements and three loops (D, anti-codon, and T loops). Further hydrogen bonds mediate the characteristic L-shaped molecular structure. tRNAs have two regions of fundamental functional importance: the anti-codon, which is responsible for specific mRNA codon recognition, and the 3' end, to which the tRNAs corresponding amino acid is attached (by aminoacyl-tRNA synthetases). tRNAs cope with the degeneracy of the genetic code in two manners: having more than one tRNA (with a specific anti-codon) for a particular amino acid; and 'wobble' base-pairing, i.e. permitting non-standard base-pairing at the 3rd anti-codon position. Lineage: Bacteria; Pseudomonadati; Pseudomonadota. RNAcentral also lists the same sequence under 1 other name. The record is from RNAcentral.